AAUAGACUAAAUUACUAUUAAACCCAAAGCCCAAUUACAACCACAAGCCCAAUUAAAUAUUUCCAUAUAGUCUAACAUCUCCCCGCAAACUCACAAUGCGUUUACAUGACAUAAAGCAUUGAGAGUUUGUCAUACAAAAUUAAAACCCAAAAUAGAAGAAAUAAAACCAAAACAACUAAAAUUGUAACCAGCAGAAAGCAGCAACUAGCAACCAAAAGCGAGAACCAUCCAAGAGAGAAGCAUCAGCCAAACCGAAGAAGAGAACCAUCAAAAGGAAGAACUAAUUCAAACCAAACUUAUCCAAUCCAGACUAAACCAAAUCAAAUUGUACCAAUCCAAUCCA
Molecule: long non-coding RNA, 343 nt
Filed under: Trifolium pratense (red clover)
Lineage: Eukaryota; Viridiplantae; Streptophyta; Magnoliopsida; Fabales; Fabaceae
Description: long non-coding RNA (TPRA_LNC000576)
Source: RNAcentral